AAGUAAAGAGCUAUUAGCGACUUAAUUUCGACUUAAGUUUAGGAAAAUGUAGUGAAGUUC
This 60-nucleotide transfer RNA is filed under the name Cheliceroides longipalpis. RNAcentral's name for it is "tRNA-Arg". The record is from RNAcentral. Lineage: Eukaryota; Metazoa; Arthropoda; Arachnida; Araneae; Salticidae.